RNAcentral lists this ribosomal RNA (583 nucleotides) under uncultured fungus. Its description in RNAcentral is "eukaryotic LSU rRNA". It matches the Rfam family "Eukaryotic large subunit ribosomal RNA", at positions 62 to 667 of the family's 3401-position model. Lineage: Eukaryota; Fungi. The record is from RNAcentral.
AAACCAACAGGGAUUGCCCUAGUAACGGCGAGUGAAGCGGCAACAGCUCAAAUUUGAAAUCUGGCUCUCGGGCCCGAGUUGUAAUUUGUAGAGGAUACUUUUGAUGCGGUGCCUUCCGAGUUCCCUGGAACGGGACGCCAUAGAGGGUGAGAGCCCCGUCUGGUUGGAUGCCAAAUCUCUGUAAAGUUCCUUCAACGAGUCGAGUAGUUUGGGAAUGCUGCUCUAAAUGGGAGGUAUAUGUCUUCUAAAGCUAAAUACCGGCCAGAGACCGAUAGCGCACAAGUAGAGUGAUCGAAAGAUGAAAAGCACUUUGAAAAGAGAGUUAAAAAGUACGUGAAAUUGUUGAAAGGGAAGCGUUUAUGACCAGACUUGGGCUUGGUUAAUCAUCUGGGGUUCUCCCCAGUGCACUUUUCCAGCUCAGGCCAGCAUCAGUUUUCCCCGGGGGAUAAAGGCGGAGGGAAUGUGGCUCUCUUCGGGGAGUGUUAUAGCCCACCGUGUAAUACCCUGGGGGGGACUGAGGUUCGCGCAUCUGCAAGGAUGCUGGCGUAAUGGUCAUCAACGACCCGUCUUGAAACCACGGACA